This 330-nucleotide ribosomal RNA is filed under the name uncultured eukaryote. RNAcentral describes it as "partial 18S ribosomal RNA". It matches the Rfam family "Eukaryotic small subunit ribosomal RNA", at positions 1470 to 1796 of the family's 1831-position model. The record is from RNAcentral.
CCCUUAGAUGUUCUGGGCCGCACGCGCGCUACACUGAUGCAUUCAACGAGUCUAAAACCUGGUCUGAUAGGGCUGGGUAAUCUUUUGAAUGUGCAUCGUGAUUGGGAUAGAUGAUUGCAAUUCUUCAUCUUCAACGAGGAAUGCCUAGUAAACGCAAGUCAUCAGCUUGCAUUGAUUACGUCCCUGCCCUUUGUACACACCGCCCGUCGCUCCUGCCGAUUGAAUGUUCCGAUGAAUACCAUGGACUGAGAGUAUGAAUGGGUUCGCCUAUUUCUGCUUCUCGGGAAGUGGAGUAAAUCUUAACAUUUAGAGGAAGGAGAAGUCGUAACA